Malaclemys terrapin pileata is the source of this 347-nucleotide long non-coding RNA. RefSeq lists it as uncharacterized. The transcript has 3 exons. The record is from RefSeq and is a predicted model, not a curated record. Lineage: Eukaryota; Metazoa; Chordata; Testudines; Emydidae.
AUCUCUUCAUCACCCUUACAGAGAUCCCCUACCAACCCUCCCCAGCCGUUACCCCGGACACAGAAUCUGGGGAAGGAUCAGCCAGCUUUCCCGGAGCAUUCUCUCUUUCUCGCUGUCAGAGAUCCUCAUGAGGGUGAUGUCGCUCAUGAUGACCUGCUUUGAAUGAGCCCCAUCUGCGACUGUCUCACAACCUAGCCUGUCAUCACACUCCCAGAGGCUAGCGCGGAUUAGGCAUAAGAAGAAGAGGACACGGGAGGACAUGUUCUCGGAGCUUAUAGCCUGCUCCAGAGCCCAGGCAGCACAGCAGACCCAGUGGCGGGAGAACUUGACCCGAAUGCACCAAGCCA